Long non-coding RNA from Equus caballus (horse), 1578 nucleotides. NCBI's taxonomy places the organism in Eukaryota, Metazoa, Chordata, Mammalia, Perissodactyla, Equidae. The record is from Ensembl.
AUUUACAGAAAGAUAAAGCACACCUGAAAAAUGCCCUCAUAAGACCAACUAAAUGAUCAAUAAAGUAAAUUAGUAUUUUAAGACUAAUGACUUCUUCACCGCAAGACAAUGGCUAAAAGAACAUAGGUUCAAAAUGUAUAGAGAAAUGCUUCCUCCACCACGAGUCAGCCUCCUCAUUUUCUGCAGCAUUUUCCAUCUGUGUCAUUGGCGUAGUACACACGUGCCUGACCUAGAUGUUUACUGGCAUUUGCAGCAUCGUGAUUAUCUUCCUCAUCAUUAUCUUUGAAGCCCAACUGAAAUGAUGCCCUGUAACUACGGGUCUGUGAGUUGUUUUGGAACAGGAUGUAUCAGCCUGUCAGCAUUGUUUGAGAGCUCAAGAACUAUUUGCUGACUAGCUAAAGAAUCUUCAGGUUGAAACAGAAUCUUAAAGAUCUGAGGUAAAUGAAUACAGUUAAGUGUAACUGAAGAGGAACCGGUAAGAAAAGCAACAGAACUGAAGAAUAGCAAUUUCCCCGAGAGAGAGAGAGUGAAAGAAAAAGUUCUGUAGGGUUGGAAGUCUUGCCCAAAGGGGAACACUUCCAACAGAUCCAGGACACCCGGGAAGAAUCCCAUCCAAUUAUAAGUAGAUUGAUUUUUUACGAUUUCACCAGCAACUGGCGGGCUGCAACAUCACGGAGCUGUUUGAAAUCAUCAUAUUACUCAAUGCACUUAUUCAACAAUGAGUAAUUAAAAGAUGAAGAUACGGUCUCAAGGAUACUCUGAUGGGCAAUAAAAUUGCACAAGUAACUGACUGAAGUACAUGCUAAAUCAAGAGAGGUACUACUAUGAAGCAACUUUGCAGAAGUAACUCAUGUUACUAACUGUCAGAUUUUAAAACUGGGAAAUUAUCCUGAAUUAUCUGAGUUGUUUACAAUACAAUCACAUGAGCCCUUAAAUGCAGAAGAGGAAGGUGGGAGCGAUGAGGCAAAAGUCAGAAAAAUUUAAAACAUGAGAGGAAAUGACUUACCAUUGUCGACUCUGAGAAUGGAGAAAGGGGAACAUGACCAAAAAAUUCAGUCUAAUUCAAGAAGCUGGAAUGAUCCUUGGUUGACAGCCAGAAAGGAAAUAAGGAAUUCAGCCCUACAACCCCAUUGAACUAAGUUCUACCAACGCCUGGAGUGAAAUGAGAAAAGAUUCUCCUCAGGCUCCAGAUAGGAACACAGUCCUGCUGACACUUUUAUCUCCACCUUCAGAGACUCUAUCAGAGAACCAGCUGAGCGACACUGUGCUCAGACUUCCAAUCCAUGUCAACAGUGAGACAAAAAUCACUGAGGUGAUGUCAACAUCAUACCAGAGUGAGUUGUUCCCUUUGUCUCCCCAUCUAAGUCACAAUCUGCAGGACAUCCGUUGACCAACAAAGGACUCCCUGCAUAGCACACCAGAAUGCCUCAGAGACCCGUGCAUCUAUACAUCUGAGGGUAGGUGGACUGGACCUCCAGGAGUCAGUGGAACUAGGGGAGCAGCGCCCUCCCCCUCACCUACUGGCAGUGAUCCAAAAGGCAGAUACUCCAGGCAGUGGUGGUGGAACCCUGACCUGAU